RNAcentral lists this long non-coding RNA (1097 nucleotides) under Vulpes vulpes (red fox). RNAcentral describes it as "lncRNA (ENSVVUG00000006272.1)". Lineage: Eukaryota; Metazoa; Chordata; Mammalia; Carnivora; Canidae. The record is from RNAcentral.
GUAUUUUAUUUGUUUAUACCAAAAAAACUUUUUUUGGUUCAGUUCUAUUAGAUAUUUUCAUUGAAAACUGAUGAGGUUUCUCUCCUGGAUGCUGAAUGGCUGGAGAAAUCAUUAUGUAGUAUAAACCUUUAUACCAUAAAACUUUUUCUUAAUGAAAAUAUAGACUAUAUUAUAGUAAAUAUGUAUACACCUGAAAUUUGAUAUUGAUAUUUCUAAUUACUUUACAUUUUAUUUUUUAGUAGCCACUUGAAGUAUGACCAAGAAGAAAGUUCUACAUUUCAGCUCCCUUCAGAUUAAAGUCAUCCCUGUUCCCUCGUCCAGUGACAAACACUCAACAAUGAAGCCGAUAUAGCCAUUAUUGUACUUGUAAUGAAGCUGUGUUUCAAUACAGGGGAUACUCAGGUUCAAAAGGAGAUGUCAGAAGAACAAGAUGAUGGAGCAGUGGCAGGCAUGACCAGAGGCUGUGAUUAUGUCAACAACAAAAGCAAACUUGAAGAAGAAGAACAAAGCUUAGCAGUUAAAGAUGUCUCAGUACACGCAAGAGAAAUGCCUGGCAGGUGGGGAGCAGAGGGCAUGAGGUCCACAGUGGAAAUGAGAAAGAAAGGUGAGGAUAUCACCCUGAGGACCAGGAUAUGCUUCUUUCAGCAGGGGAAACGCACUGAGAAGCCAAGGGUCCUAAGGUGGGACGUGUGUGUGUGUGUGUGUGUGUGUGUGUGUGUGUGUAUUUAUAUAUAUGACCUCUUUGAAUAGUUUUCUCUUUCUGUUAUUCCUACGAAACCAUUGAGGUCAAGAAGUGUUUACAAGUUACACAGGAAUAGUAGCUGGAGCUGAGAGCUUAUGUCCAUAAAGUAAAGUAAUGAUUUCUACUCCAGUAAGCCAAGCACUUAUAUAAAAGCACCUUCAGGGGAUAUUUGUGUGUGUGUUUGUGUAUGUAUAUGUAUAUAUGUGUGUAUGUAUAAGUGGAUAUAUAUACAUGUAUAUAUACAUAUACACACACACACAUCCCUAUAUUAAGCUAUAUACUGAAGAACCAGCAGGAAUUGAUACUGUACUAUCUGGAACACUAAAAGAAUAAAAGACACAGCUAUUUGUGAGCA